AUGGGCUGGAUGGUUGGUGCAAGUCUCUGUGACUUUUCUGGAUGGUGCUUGGAUGGACAAAAGAAGCGAACAUAUACAGAUCUAAUGAACGCGCUGAAUUGGUUUCUGUUCAGCAUUUCUCACUGGACUACCAGAGAAAGGAAAUUAAAUCAACUCACGACAGCUAUCUUGCACAUCUCACCUGGGAAGGUAUGCAUAAGAGAGAAAGGCAGAUUAUGAACUGGAAGAAUUUCUAAAACACGUGAUACUGUUUCCCCCACCCUUCAUGGAGCAAAAAAGGAUAUUUUUCUGGUAGAGCUCUCAGAUUUCUAAACCUGCCAAAGUCCUUGUGUCCCUUGAUGUGCUUGGUAGCAUCUUGUGGAGUGAGAAAACUACCAGGUAAACCAUGGUUGCAUGACUCUUCUUGGAUUCCUUGUCUUCAACUCCUUUAUGUCUGACAUCAUGAAGUCAUUGUAGAUGAGCCUUCAGGUCAACUUCUAUGCCUAACCUCCUUGAGAAGUGUUAUCGUCAUAACAGAGAUUGUUAGUUUAAAUCAUACCCUUUGUUGCAUAACAGGCAUUAUCCCUUGCUGACUGUACGUGUGACAAUGCUAUCACGAUGUAUUACAAGCUUCAGUACUGAAUAACUUCAGUCAAAGGACAAGUAGAGGCGUUAUGUAUUUCUGAAGCAGGCAACCUUCAUACAUAAGGGCACUGAGCUUGCUGUUGCUAAAUUACUUCUAAAAUAUGGUGAGAUAUUUGGAAUUAAGUUUCCUAUGUACUUGAUCUGUGCCCAGCUCUUUGUAUGGGUUUAUGGACCAUGAAUAAUGAAAGGGACUUUGUACAUUAAUAUCUGGAAAGUCAUAAAAGGAUACAUAUCUCCACCCAAGACAACAAACCUAAAAAAUGCUAAAACCUAAAAUAGUAGCUGAGGAGGUGAGUUUAAUUGAUAAAACUCUCCAGACUAUCUUCUGAGCUAUGUUGCUUGCCGUAUUAUUAAAAUUGCAACGAUAAUCAAGAUAGUUAUUUUAGGAUUUUUUGUUUGUUUGUUUUCAAGGACCAGAUGCACAGGUCAUUUUCUGCUAGUCAUAGUCAGGACAGCCUCUCAACAGAUGAAGGUUGGGUGUGGGACAGUCCAGAAGUUUAACAGUUGUUUUGCUCAUCCUUUCUAGAAAAUGAGCAUCCUUCCUAGAAAACUUUGAGCAGUGCCCAAUGCUAUGUAAGAAACGGGAAGGAAAAAA
RNAcentral lists this long non-coding RNA (1219 nucleotides) under Anas platyrhynchos platyrhynchos (common mallard). Its description in RNAcentral is "lncRNA (ENSAPLG00000030826.1)". The record is from RNAcentral. Lineage: Eukaryota; Metazoa; Chordata; Aves; Anseriformes; Anatidae.